AGAUCCGGGAGUGAUGCGCAUGCGUGUAUCUGGCAGAUUGGGCGUGCGAGUAAAAUUUUUCCCGGUUGCAUCUAGCUGCUUUCUGCGACUGCUUACACAGCCAACAACUACAUUUCUGUAGCCAGAAGCGGGAAAAGUUACAGGUGGUGGUAGCAGGGCGCACAGUGGAAGUCUUGCAGCAGGGACGGUCACAAGGGAGCCAAAGGACAGGGAGGAUGGCGCAACGAACGGAGACAGCAUCUUCACUGCCGGGACCAGAGAGAAAAUUGCUGGCCACCAUACAUCGCGGGUCGACAGUCAAAGAGCAACAGAAGAUCCUGAAACCGAGUUGUUGCAUCGUGCUUCUAAAAACUGAAAAAAUAAGAAUUUGUAAUGUUUCUACAACAAUGAUGUCAUAGAAAGUUUAAUCAUGUUGUAAAUGUUCAGUCCUAUCUUGUCAAGGCUCAUGUUCACAACUAUAUGUAGUAUAUAUGAAGAUAAUAAACUAGU
Long non-coding RNA from Schistocerca nitens (vagrant locust), 489 nucleotides. RefSeq lists it as uncharacterized. The transcript has 3 exons. The record is from RefSeq and is a predicted model, not a curated record. Lineage: Eukaryota; Metazoa; Arthropoda; Insecta; Orthoptera; Acrididae.